GACGAACGCUGGCGGCGUGCCUAAUACAUGCAAGUUGAGCGAUGAAGAUUGGUGCUUGCACCAAUUUGAAGAGCAGCGAACGGGUGAGUAACGCGUGGGGAAUCUGCCUUUGAGCGGGGGACAACAUUUGGAAACGAAUGCUAAUACCGCAUAACAACUUUAAACAUAAGUUUUAAGUUUGAAAGAUGCAAUUGCAUCACUCAAAGAUGAUCCCGCGUUGUAUUAGCUAGUUGGUGAGGUAAAGGCUCACCAAGGCGAUGGUACAUAGCCGACCUGAGAGGGUGAUCGGCCACAUUGGGACUGAGACACGGCCCAAACUCCUACGGGAGGCAGCAGUAGGGAAUCUUCGGCAAUAGACGAAAGUCUGACCGAGCAACGCCGCGUGAGUGAAGAAGGUUUUCGGAUCGUAAAACUCUGUUGGUAGAGAAGAACGUUGGUGAGAGUGGAAAGCUCAUCAAGUGACGGUAACUACCCAGAAAGGGACGGCUAACUACGUG
Molecule: ribosomal RNA, 497 nt
Filed under: uncultured bacterium
Lineage: Bacteria
Description: partial 16S ribosomal RNA
Rfam family: Bacterial small subunit ribosomal RNA
Source: RNAcentral